AACGAACGCUGGCGGCAGGCUUAACACAUGCAAGUCGAGCGCCCCGCAAGGGGAGCGGCAGACGGGUGAGUAACGCGUGGGAACGUACCUUUUGGUUCGGAACAACUCCGGGAAACUGGAGCUAAUACCGGAUAAGCCCUAACGGGGAAAGAUUUAUCGCCGAAAGAUCGGCCCGCGUCUGAUUAGCUAGUUGGUGAGGUAACGGCUCACCAAGGCGACGAUCAGUAGCUGGUCUGAGAGGAUGAUCAGCCACACUGGGACUGAGACACGGCCCAGACUCCUACGGGAGGCAGCAGUGGGGAAUAUUGGACAAUGGGCGCAAGCCUGAUCCAGCCAUACCGCGUGAGUGAUGAAGGCAUUAGGGUUGUAAAGCUCUUUUGUCCGGGAAGAUAAUGACUGUACCGGAAGAAUAAGCCCCGGCUAACUUCGUG
RNAcentral lists this ribosomal RNA (431 nucleotides) under uncultured bacterium. Its description in RNAcentral is "partial 16S ribosomal RNA". It matches the Rfam family "Bacterial small subunit ribosomal RNA", at positions 29 to 507 of the family's 1533-position model. The record is from RNAcentral.